Xenia sp. Carnegie-2017 is the source of this 152-nucleotide long non-coding RNA. RefSeq lists it as uncharacterized. The transcript has 2 exons. The record is from RefSeq and is a predicted model, not a curated record. Lineage: Eukaryota; Metazoa; Cnidaria; Anthozoa; Malacalcyonacea; Xeniidae.
UCGUUAAAAAGACUUUGUACAGAGUUCGUUUGAAAGGCGUUCGUUUCAUUAUAGUUCACAAAAACUGUAAACAUUGUUCUGCGAUUUAAAAGAAAGAAAAAAACCGCAUUGGAAAGAAGGAUACAUUAAACAAGAUUUUAUUCUUCUUAUUC